Long non-coding RNA from Chelonia mydas (Green sea turtle), 2641 nucleotides. RefSeq lists it as uncharacterized. The record is from RefSeq and is a predicted model, not a curated record. The transcript has 3 exons. NCBI's taxonomy places the organism in Eukaryota, Metazoa, Chordata, Testudines, Cheloniidae.
AGGAGCUGGAGGAGAGGAAGCAUUGCUGAAUCCUGAGGGAAGGGUGAAGCUAAGAAAAGGGGACCACAGGGAAGUGGCCCAGGGAAUCAAAGUAGUGUCAGUGGUGAGGGGAAAACCGCCAACAGCUGCUACCAUUAGGAUCCCUGGGCUGGAACCCAGCAUAGGGGGUGGGCCCAGGUUCCCCCCUCCCCGCCAUGCUUUACAGAGAUCCCCUUGAGAGGGGAAGCAGACUUUCCUCCAAACAGGAGCCCAAACUGCACCUACUGAGCUCUAAGGAGCAACAGAGACUGAGUAUUCCACCUUCCCACCUCCCAUACUGGCCUGUGAUGAAAGAAGCUCAAUAAGCUGUGACCUUUGCUGCUAUACUGAAAAAGGGAGGUCAUAUUGAGGUCAUUAGCAAGCUUCUGAGGCCACUGAAUCCGCCUGGAAGUGUGGGAUCCACCAAUACAGGCUUGGUAGCUUUGUCAUAGUAUGUACAGUCCGUGCUGUUGCAGCUACACUGCUAUUUUUAGCAAUGCUGGAGUGAGCAGAGUAGGGGACAGCCUGAGAACAUGUACAUGGAGUAUAGUCUUGAAGCCUUGGCUGAUGCCAUCUGCGUGGGUUCCCAGAAACAAAAGGGGAGCUGCUCCUGGGGAAGAAGUGAGAAGCAAACCUCAAAAGUUCAGCAGUUAGCUGUUGUCCCACCCAAAGUUAUCAGGUCAUUCAAGCCGCGGACUAAGAAGGAGUGGGACAUCAGGCUCCGCACUCUCCUUAUGGAAUCGGCACUGGCCCUAACUCCAGCACGCCGAGUGGACUCGGCGCCCGGUAUCGCGUUUUUGGUGCGCGGUGAAGUCCCCUCCUCCAGCCGGCACCGCUCCCCCUCCAAGAAGCAGGGGAAGAGCUCCGCCUUGCAGUGGCGCCGAGGGAAGGAAAAGGAAGAGGCUGGUCCCGUGUCGGGCAGCCCUUGAUUUCCCCGCCCCGCCCCCCGGGCCCGAGGCCUCCAACUUGUGAUGAGUGGAGCAGCCCAGCACCGUUUGCGCGUGCGUCUCCAGCAGUCAGGAUGCCAUCGACACCAGAGGCUCUCCAGGCUGCGCGAGACAUUUUGAGUUUGCUGGUACCAGGGGCGCCACUGAUGACAGGCCCUCGGUCCCGCGGCAAGCCGCCACUGGGUGCUCACCAGACCUCCCCAGCGCGGCGCAGCUUCCACUCUGAGGACCGCUCCUUGCCUUGUUCGACGUGCAGUGGCCAGUCAUCUCACAGCCCACGCCCGCCCUUGACGCCAGUCAGGCUAACCGGUUCGCCGCCUGGGCAGGAGUCUCGAGGUCCCUCCAUGUUGCGCAGUAGUGGACACAGGUGCUGUAGACGCUCCUCCUCGCAUCGCAGCUGUCGCAUCCAGUCCUGACACCAUCGAUGUCGACGCUUCCGUUUGAGUUCCUGCUCUGCCAGACAUCACAGUCGGGACUCUCCUUGCGAUUCACCGGCACCAGAGCAUCGCAGCCCCAGGCUCCGGGGCGAGUACCGGAGCAGCACUUUCGACGGGUACCAAUCCUGGACGUCGAGGUCCCGGUUCCGCGGAAGAUGACAUCGCAGGCACCAUCACUCCUGCCGCUCCUAUGGGACCGUGCGUUCGACGGUGACCUCAGCCUCGGCACCCAACCGCCCAUCACCGGGUCGUGGGGCUCAGCCGGACCAGCUGGCACCGCCAGGGCCCCAACUUGGACAGUGGCAAGGGGCCCCGUGGCAGGGGCAGUAGUGCCAAUGGGCAUUGUGGCCACAGAUGCUCACCCAGACGGGAACCUGUUCGGUGGCUGGGGCAUCCCAGGCCCCAUUGGCCUCUCCAUCUCAGCCGAGGGACAAGUCAACAAGUCACGAGUCGGCGGCCCCUCGCCCGGACUCCGACCUGGGGGUUGAUUCCUCAGUACUGCCAGAGGCCCAUGUUUCCAGGCCAGCCCUCUCUCCGGCACUGGACGACGCCAUAGCAGCACCUCUGCCCGUUAUGCCACAGGAGGAUUUCAAGGUGCAUCAAGACCUGUUAAAGGGGGUGGCGUCCAACCUCCAGCUGCAGGCUGAGGAGACAGAGGGCCCAUCUGACACACUCUUUAAUGUGCUGUUGUCCUCGGCACUGGGCCGUAUGGCCCUACUCCUCCACCAGGGAAUAGCCAACAUUUCCAACACCUUGUGUCAAACUCCCUCUUCCUUGGCCCCUAUUUCCAAGAAGGCUGAGAGGAAGUACUUUGUGCUGGCUAAGGACCACAAGUACCUCUAUUCCCACCCAGCACCUAAUUCUCUUGUGUUGGAAUCGGUUAACCACCUGGAACGACAGGGCCAGCCCGCACCCACCCCCAAAAACAAAGACUCCAGGAGACUGGACUCCUUUGGUAGAAAGGUUUAUUCCUCUGCAAGUUUCCAGCUCAGGGUGGCCAAUCAUCAGGCCCUACUGAGCUGAUAUGACUUUAGCUUAUGAGGGUCUCUGCCAAAGUUUGAACCACUCCUCCCGGAGCAGCAGAGGAAGGACUUCAAGGGUCUGGUGGAGGAAGGGGUGGUGGUGGCCAAAGCAUCCCUCCAAGCAGCGGCCGAUACGGCAGCCCGUUCAAUGGUUUCCGCCAUAUCCAUGCUCAGGGCAUCAUGGCUGCUCCUGUCCGGGCUGUCGGCGGAGGCCCAG